Molecule: ribosomal RNA, 341 nt
Filed under: uncultured bacterium
Lineage: Bacteria
Description: bacterial SSU rRNA
Rfam family: Bacterial small subunit ribosomal RNA
Source: RNAcentral
AACGAACGCUGGCGGCAGGCCUAACACAUGCAAGUCGAACGCUCCAGCAAUGGAGAGUGGCAGACGGGUGAGUAACGCGUGGGAACCUACCCUACGGUUCGGAAUAGCCCAGGGAAACUUGGGGUAAUACCGGAUACGCCUUACGGGAAGAUUAUCGCCGUGGAUGGCCCGCGUCGGAUUAGCUAGUUGGUGAGGUAACGGCUCACCAAGGCGACGAUCCGUAGCUGGUCUGAGAGGANGAUCAGCCACACUGGGACUGAGACACGGCCCAGACUCCUACGGGAGGCAGCAGUGGGGAAUAUUGGACAAUGGGCGCAAGCCUGAUCCAGCCAUGCCGCGUG